This 515-nucleotide ribosomal RNA is filed under the name uncultured bacterium. Its description in RNAcentral is "bacterial SSU rRNA". It matches the Rfam family "Bacterial small subunit ribosomal RNA", at positions 777 to 1298 of the family's 1533-position model. The record is from RNAcentral.
AAUAGAUACCCGGGUAGUCCACGCCGUAAACGAUGGAUACUAGCUGUUUGAGCGCAAGUUUGAGUGGCUAAGCGAAAGUGAUAAGUAUCCCACCUGGGGAGUACGGGCGCAAGCCUGAAACUCAAAGGAAUUGACGGGGGCCCGCACAAGCGGUGGAGCAUGUGGUUUAAUUCGAUGAUACGCGAGGAACCUUACCAGGGCUUAAAUGUAGAUUGACGUAUUUGGAAACAGAUAUUUCUUCGGACAAUUUACAAGGUGCUGCAUGGUUGUCGUCAGCUCGUGCCGUGAGGUGUCAGGUUAAGUCCUAUAACGAGCGCAACCCCUGUUGUUAGUUGCCAGCGAGUAAUGUCGGGAACUCUAGCAAGACUGCCAGUGUAAACUGUGAGGAAGGUGGGGAUGACGUCAAAUCAUCACGGCCCUUACGUCCUGGGCCACACACGUGCUACAAUGGCCGGUACAGAGAGCAGCCACUUAGCGAUAAGGAGCGAAUCUAUAAAGCCGGUCACAGUUCGGAU